This 189-nucleotide small RNA is filed under the name Arabidopsis thaliana (thale cress). RNAcentral describes it as "ATSL021830". The record is from RNAcentral. Lineage: Eukaryota; Viridiplantae; Streptophyta; Magnoliopsida; Brassicales; Brassicaceae.
UGUAUAUUUCUGAUUCAGUAACGCUUCAAGUCAUUAGAUUAUACAUGGGAUAAAACAUCAUAUCUUAUAUAAUAAGAGAAGGUUUUUCCUAACUUUGCUUACUAAUGCGACAUUUGACACUCUACUUUGAUGACACAUGUACUUAUCAUUAAUUGUAGUUUGACUAAAAUAAUUUAUUAAUAGAUAUAU